GACGAACGCUGGCGGCGUGCUUAACACAUGCAAGUCGAACGGAAAGGCCCUGCUUUUGUGGGGUGCUCGAGUGGCGAACGGGUGAGUAACACGUGAGUAACCUGCCCUUGACUUUGGGAUAACUUCAGGAAACUGGGGCUAAUACCGGAUAGGAGCUCCUGCUGCAUGGUGGGGGUUGGAAAGUUUCGGCGGUUGGGGCUGGACUCGCGGCUUAUCAGCUUGUUGGUGGGGUAGUGGCUUACCAAGGCUUUGACGGGUAGCCGGCCUGAGAGGGUGACCGGCCACAUUGGGACUGAGGUACGGCCCAGACUCCUACGGGAGGCAGCAGGGGGGAAUAUUGCACAAUGGGCGGAAGCCUGAGGCAGCAACGCCGCGUGCGGGAUGACGGCCUUCGGGUUGUAAACCGCUUUCGCCUGUGACGAAGCGUGAGUGACGGUAAUGGGUAAAGAAGCACCGGCUAACUACGUG
RNAcentral lists this ribosomal RNA (468 nucleotides) under uncultured bacterium. RNAcentral's name for it is "partial 16S ribosomal RNA". It matches the Rfam family "Bacterial small subunit ribosomal RNA", at positions 28 to 507 of the family's 1533-position model. The record is from RNAcentral.